Long non-coding RNA from Paramormyrops kingsleyae, 331 nucleotides. RefSeq lists it as uncharacterized. NCBI's taxonomy places the organism in Eukaryota, Metazoa, Chordata, Actinopteri, Osteoglossiformes, Mormyridae. The record is from RefSeq and is a predicted model, not a curated record.
AGCAUGGCAUUCAUUCCUGACAAGACUGCAGAACCUGCUUGCAGAGUCUGCUGAGAUGCAGCUAUAUAAAGAGCGGCGUUCCACAGCCACGCCAGAGCUGCGGUGUGAACUCCUUAAAUCUACAAAAGAAGAAAGAUGCUGCAUUUAAAGCCUUCACCAAUGUGCUGGUGUGACGUCCUUUGGUCAAGUGGUUCUUAACAGUUCAACAGUUCUUUACCAAAAUUGUGAAAUGUUUAGGACCACUUGAUCAGGGUGAUGAUUAUGUUAAAGAGUGAAGACAAGAGACACAUCAAAGAGGACACUUAAUGAAAAUAAAAUCAGUGCCAAAGAA